This 170-nucleotide ribosomal RNA is filed under the name Juncus covillei var. obtusatus. Its description in RNAcentral is "5.8S ribosomal RNA". It matches the Rfam family "5.8S ribosomal RNA". Rfam says of the family: 5.8S ribosomal RNA (5.8S rRNA) is a component of the large subunit of the eukaryotic ribosome. It is transcribed by RNA polymerase I as part of the 45S precursor that also contains 18S and 28S rRNA. Functionally, it is thought that 5.8S rRNA may be involved in ribosome translocation. Lineage: Eukaryota; Viridiplantae; Streptophyta; Magnoliopsida; Poales; Juncaceae. The record is from RNAcentral.
AAUGUUGGAAUGACUCUCGGCAACGGAUAUCUCGGCUCUCGCAUCGAUGAAGAACGUAGCGAAAUGCGAUACGUGGUGUGAAUUGCAGAAUCCCGUGAACCAUCGAGUUUUUGAACGCAAGUUGCGCCCGAGGCCAUCUGGCCGAGGGCACGCCUGCCUGGGCGUCAGUU